GUUAUAUAUUAGGGUAGCAAUUGUUGACAUUACCAGAGAGUCCAUACUUUAUAAAAAAUGAUUUGCCAUAGAAUUUUUCUGUUGCAUUUCAAACUAUUCUGAUUUAAAAAUAGUAACUUCUAAAUUCUCAGGAAGAAAUAUGUGAAGUAAAGCUUGUAUUCAUGUCUGUUUUCAGAUUUCUCCUUUUAUUCUAAUACAAUUCCUAGCUCCUUGCAAUCUUAGUAGGUUAAAUACUGAAUCCCUGGCAGCUUCUUAGGGAUCCCAUAAGUAGAUGAUGAGAAUUUUCAGUGCUUUUUUUUGUUUAAUGGAAAUCAAACUGACUUGUGUUGUAACAUACAAGUUGCCAAAUGAUAAGAUUACAUGAUCUUAAAGGUGUUCUAGGUUUUCUGCAACUAUUAGCUGUGAACCCUAUUGUAGCUAACGUUUAUGAAAUUUUAUAGUCUUUGCACUGACCAAAAAAUUUAAAGAUGAUAUUAAUUUACAUAUACAUGUGGAUCCGAAUACGUAAUUUGUACUUGUUCAGCUGAAAAGGUCAAUAGAACGG
This 544-nucleotide long non-coding RNA is filed under the name Bos taurus (domestic cattle). Its description in RNAcentral is "long non-coding RNA NONBTAT009643". The record is from RNAcentral. Lineage: Eukaryota; Metazoa; Chordata; Mammalia; Artiodactyla; Bovidae.